This is a non-coding RNA of Danio rerio (zebrafish), 409 nucleotides long. The record is from Ensembl. NCBI's taxonomy places the organism in Eukaryota, Metazoa, Chordata, Actinopteri, Cypriniformes, Danionidae.
ACGCACUAACUUGCACAGCAUUGAAUGGAAAAGGCUUUGUCCAUGACCAGUUGAGGGGCAUCAAGAACAUGCAGAUGGCCUAAACCUGUGUCAGCCUGGACAGACUGCAGUUCUGCUACUCCAUGCCAAGGCUUUUGUAUGGAUGUCUUGACUGCUACUGUGUUCUCUAAAGGUAUUACUGGAGCAAAACAACAGCACCCGUUACAGUGAAAUUUGUAUUCAAAAAAAUAGUGAUACAUGUGUAGCAGGUCCAGUACAUUUGUCAUAAAGGUUAAAUCACAGUAAGUACUGUAAAAAUAACUUGUUUGCCUCUGCCAAAACAGGUCAUGGUGUGUGCUUACUGCUCGUAGUAAACACACACGCUGAUCUGAUGCGGGAGAGAUAUAUGCAAACACAUUUGUAUUUACUG